GACGAACGCUGGCGGCGUGCCUAAUACAUGCAAGUCGAGCGCAGGAAGCCGGCGGAUCCCUUCGGGGUGAAGCCGGUGGAAUGAGCGGCGGACGGGUGAGUAACACGUGGGCAACCUACCUUGUAGACUGGGAUAACUCCGGGAAACCGGGGCUAAUACCGGAUGAUCAUUUGGAUCGCAUGAUCCGAAUGUAAAAGUGGGGAUUUAUCCUCACACUGCAAGAUGGGCCCGCGGCGCAUUAGCUAGUUGGUAAGGUAAUGGCUUACCAAGGCGACGAUGCGUAGCCGACCUGAGAGGGUGAUCGGCCACACUGGAACUGAGACACGGUCCAGACUCCUACGGGAGGCAGCAGUAGGGAAUCAUCCGCAAUGGGCGAAAGCCUGACGGUGCAACGCCGCGUGAACGAUGAAGGUUUUCGGAUCGUAAAGUUCUGUUAUGAGGGAAGAACAAGUGCCGUUCGAAUAGGUCGGCACCUUGACGGUACCUCACGAGAAAGCCCCGGCUAACUACGUGCCAGCAGCCGCGGUAAUACGUAGGGGGCAAGCGUUGUCCGGAAUUAUUGGGCGUAAAGCGCGCGCAGGCGGUCUCUUAAGUCUGAUGUGAAAGCCCACGGCUCAACCGUGGAGGGUCAUUGGAAACUGGGGGACUUGAGUGUAGGAGAGGAAAGUGGAAUUCCACGUGUAGCGGUGAAAUGCGUAGAUAUGUGGAGGAACACCAGUGGCGAAGGCGAC
This 731-nucleotide ribosomal RNA is filed under the name Salipaludibacillus agaradhaerens. RNAcentral's name for it is "bacterial SSU rRNA". It matches the Rfam family "Bacterial small subunit ribosomal RNA", at positions 28 to 725 of the family's 1533-position model. Lineage: Bacteria; Bacillati; Bacillota; Bacilli; Caryophanales; Bacillaceae. The record is from RNAcentral.